AACGCACAUUGCGCCCCUUGGUAUUCCGAGGGGCAUGCCUGUUCGAGCGUCAUUAACACCCCUCAAGCGUACCGCUUGGUAUUGGAGUAGGCCGGACUGGCCGUUCCCAAUUCUAGUGGCGGCCCUGCACGGUCCCAAGCGUAGUAAAUCUCUCGCUCUGGGUCCCUGCAGCGGUUGCCAGUAACCCCGUGCCCUUGGCACCAAAGUUUGACCUCGGAUCAGGUAGGAAUACCCGCUGAACUUAA
Molecule: unclassified non-coding RNA, 245 nt
Filed under: uncultured fungus
Lineage: Eukaryota; Fungi
Description: partial contains 5.8S ribosomal RNA, internal transcribed spacer 2, and large subunit ribosomal RNA
Rfam family: 5.8S ribosomal RNA (bases 1-52)
Source: RNAcentral